RNAcentral lists this ribosomal RNA (735 nucleotides) under Salmonella enterica subsp. enterica serovar Kentucky. Its description in RNAcentral is "partial 23S ribosomal RNA". It matches the Rfam family "Bacterial large subunit ribosomal RNA", at positions 2214 to 2925 of the family's 2925-position model. The record is from RNAcentral. Lineage: Bacteria; Pseudomonadati; Pseudomonadota; Gammaproteobacteria; Enterobacterales; Enterobacteriaceae.
UUGAUGUUCUAACGUGGACCCGUAAUCCGGGUUGCGGACAGUGUCUGGUGGGUAGUUUGACUGGGGCGGUCUCCUCCUAAAGAGUAACGGAGGAGCACGAAGGUUGGCUAAUCCUGGUCGGACAUCAGGAGGUUAGUGCAAUGGCAUAAGCCAGCUUGACUGCGAGCGUGACGGCGCGAGCAGGUGCGAAAGCAGGUCAUAGUGAUCCGGUGGUUCUGAAUGGAAGGGCCAUCGCUCAACGGAUAAAAGGUACUCCGGGGAUAACAGGCUGAUACCGCCCAAGAGUUCAUAUCGACGGCGGUGUUUGGCACCUCGAUGUCGGCUCAUCACAUCCUGGGGCUGAAGUAGGUCCCAAGGGUAUGGCUGUUCGCCAUUUAAAGUGGUACGCGAGCUGGGUUUAGAACGUCGUGAGACAGUUCGGUCCCUAUCUGCCGUGGGCGCUGGAGAACUGAGGGGGGCUGCUCCUAGUACGAGAGGACCGGAGUGGACGCAUCACUGGUGUUCGGGUUGUCAUGCCAAUGGCACUGCCCGGUAGCUAAAUGCGGAAGAGAUAAGUGCUGAAAGCAUCUAAGCACGAAACUUGCCCCGAGAUGAGUUCUCCCUGAGACUUAGAGUCUCCUGAAGGAACGUUGAAGACGACGACGUUGAUAGGCCGGGUGUGUAAGCGCAGCGAUGCGUUGAGCUAACCGGUACUAAUGAACCGUGAGGCUUAACCUUACAACGCCGAAGGUGUUU